GACGAACGCUGGCGGCGUGCUUAACACAUGCAAGUCGAACGGAAAGGCCCUGCUUUUGUGGGGUGCUCGAGUGGCGAACGGGUGAGUAACACGUGAGUAACCUGCCCUUUACUUUUGGAUAACUUCAGGAAACUGGGGCUAAUACCGGAUAGGAGCUCCUGCUGCAUGUUGGGGUUUGGAAAGUUUCGGCGGUUGGGGAUGGACUCGCGGCUUAUCAGCUUGUUGGUGGGGUAGUGGCUUACCAAGGCUUUGACGGGUAGCCGGCCUGAGAGGGUGACCGGCCACAUUGGGACUGAGAUACGGCCCAGACUCCUACGGGAGGCAGCAGUGGGGAAUAUUGAACAAUGGGCGGAAGCCUGAUGCAGGAACGACGCGUGAGGGAUGACGGACUUCGGGUUGUAAACCGCUUUCGCCUGUGACGAAGCGUGAGUGACGGUAAUGGGUAAAGAAGCACCGGCUAACUACGUG
This 468-nucleotide ribosomal RNA is filed under the name uncultured bacterium. Its description in RNAcentral is "partial 16S ribosomal RNA". It matches the Rfam family "Bacterial small subunit ribosomal RNA", at positions 28 to 507 of the family's 1533-position model. The record is from RNAcentral.